UGAGCGCUCUUUGUGGUGGAGCGAUUUGUCUGGUUAAUUCCGAUAACGAACUAGACUCUAGUCUAUUAAAAAGGUGCGUGGUUCUCUGCACCUUGAGCCCUUUUCAGAGGGACACGCGGCUCCUAGUCGCACGAAACGGAGCAAUGACAGGUCUGUAA
This 158-nucleotide ribosomal RNA is filed under the name Ixodes scapularis (black-legged tick). RNAcentral describes it as "eukaryotic small subunit ribosomal RNA". It matches the Rfam family "Eukaryotic small subunit ribosomal RNA", at positions 1285 to 1467 of the family's 1831-position model. The record is from RNAcentral. Lineage: Eukaryota; Metazoa; Arthropoda; Arachnida; Ixodida; Ixodidae.